GAUGAACGCUGGCGGUAUGCCUAACACAUGCAAGUCGUACGAGAGUUUUUAACUCUAGUGGCGGACGGGUGAGUAACACGUGAGAAUUUGCCUUUAGGAGGGGGACAACAAUUGGAAACGAAUGCUAAUACCCCAUAUGCUUUCGAGUGAAAUGGAUUUUAUCCGCCUAGAGAGAAGCUCGCGGCUGAUUAGCUUGUUGGUACGGUAAGAGCUUACCAAGGCGACGAUCAGUAUCUGGUUUGAGAGGACGAUCAGACACACUGGAACUGAGACACGGUCCAGACUCCUACGGGAGGCAGCAGUGGGGAAUUUUCCGCAAUGGGCGAAAGCCUGACGGAGCAAUACCGCGUGAGGGAAGAAUGCCUAUGGGUUGUAAACCUCUUUUUCAGGGAGGAAUAAAAUGACGUGUACCUGAAGAAUAAGCAUCGGCUAACUCCGUG
This 440-nucleotide ribosomal RNA is filed under the name uncultured bacterium. Its description in RNAcentral is "bacterial SSU rRNA". It matches the Rfam family "Bacterial small subunit ribosomal RNA", at positions 28 to 507 of the family's 1533-position model. The record is from RNAcentral.